CCGUAGUAUUUUAACUACGUAAAAGUAGCAGAAUCAUUUGUUUUGUAAUUUAAAACUAGAAUGAAGGAAUAAUUGGUAAAAUUUUAUAAAUUUUUAAAUAAAAUUUAAAUAAUAAAUAAAAAUUUUUAUAAAUUUUUUUAAAACGAUAAGACCCUAAAAAUUUAAAUAAAUUAAUUUUAUUUGGGUAAUAAUGUUUAAAUACUUGAUUUAAUUAAAAAUUACUUUAGGGAUAACAGCAUAAUUUUAAAUUAAUUUAAUUUUGUGACCUCGAUGUUGAAUUAUUUAUACUAAAUUUAAGUAAAAUUUUUUAAAAAGUAUGUUCUCCUUGUUUAUUUA
Molecule: ribosomal RNA, 336 nt
Filed under: Anoplostoma viviparum
Lineage: Eukaryota; Metazoa; Nematoda; Enoplea; Enoplida; Anoplostomatidae
Description: partial large subunit ribosomal RNA
Source: RNAcentral